Molecule: ribosomal RNA, 1710 nt
Filed under: Herbaspirillum sp. 1130
Lineage: Bacteria; Pseudomonadati; Pseudomonadota; Betaproteobacteria; Burkholderiales; Oxalobacteraceae
Description: partial 23S ribosomal RNA
Rfam family: Bacterial large subunit ribosomal RNA
Source: RNAcentral
AAGGAUAUGGUAGGAGAGCGUUCUGUAAGCCUGUGAAGGUGUCUUGUAAAGGAUGCUGGAGGUAUCAGAAGUGCGAAUGCUGACAUGAGUAGCGAUAAUGCGGGUGAAAAGCCCGCACGCCGUAAGCCCAAGGUUUCCUGUUCAACGUUCAUCGGAGCAGGGUGAGUCGGCCCCUAAGGCGAGGCAGAGAUGCGUAGCUGAUGGGAAGCAGGUUAAUAUUCCUGCACCGUCGUUAGAUGCGAUGGGGGGACGGAUCGCGGAAGGUUGUCCGACUGUUGGAAUAGUCGGUUUUUGCAUCGAAGAAGGCUGUUAGGCAAAUCCGGCAGCGUAAUUCAAGGGUGUGAGACGAGCGAACUUGUUCGCGAAGCAAUCGGAAGUGGUUCCAAGAAAAGCCUCUAAGCUUCAGUCUAACGAGACCGUACCGCAAACCGACACAGGUGGGCGAGAUGAGUAUUCUAAGGCGCUUGAGAGAACUCGGGAGAAGGAACUCGGCAAAUUGGUACCGUAACUUCGGGAUAAGGUACGCCCAAGUAGUUUAACUGGCCUGCGCCAGAAGGACAAAAGGGUUGCAAUAAAAUGGUGGCUGCGACUGUUUAAUAAAAACACAGCACUCUGCAAACACGAAAGUGGACGUAUAGGGUGUGACGCCUGCCCGGUGCUGGAAGAUUAAAUGAUGGGGUGCAAGCUCUUGAUUGAAGUCCCAGUAAACGGCGGCCGUAACUAUAACGGUCCUAAGGUAGCGAAAUUCCUUGUCGGGUAAGUUCCGACCUGCACGAAUGGCGUAACGAUGGCCACACUGUCUCCUCCCGAGACUCAGCGAAGUUGAAAUGUUUGUGAUGAUGCAAUCUACCCGCGGCUAGACGGAAAGACCCCAUGAACCUUUACUGUAGCUUUGCAUUGGACUUUGAACCAAUCUGUGUAGGAUAGGUGGGAGGCUUUGAAGCGUGGACGCUAGUCUGCGUGGAGCCGACCUUGAAAUACCACCCUGGUUUGUUUGAGGUUCUAACCUUGGUCCGUUAUCCGGAUCGGGGACAGUGCAUGGUAGGCAGUUUGACUGGGGCGGUCUCCUCCCAAAGUGUAACGGAGGAGUUCGAAGGUACGCUAGGUACGGUCGGACAUCGUGCUAAUAGUGCAAUGGCAUAAGCGUGCUUAACUGCGAGACUGACAAGUCGAGCAGGUACGAAAGUAGGACAUAGUGAUCCGGUGGUUCUGUAUGGAAGGGCCAUCGCUCAACGGAUAAAAGGUACUCUGGGGAUAACAGGCUGAUUCCUCCCAAGAGUUCAUAUCGACGGGGGAGUUUGGCACCUCGAUGUCGGCUCAUCACAUCCUGGGGCUGUAGCCGGUCCCAAGGGUAUGGCUGUUCGCCAUUUAAAGUGGUACGUGAGCUGGGUUUAAAACGUCGUGAGACAGUUUGGUCCCUAUCUGCCGUGGGCGUUGGAAGUUUGAAGGGGGCUGCUCCUAGUACGAGAGGACCGGAGUGGACGAACCUCUGGUGUAUCGGUUGUCACGCCAGUGGCAUUGCCGAGUAGCUAAGUUCGGAAGAGAUAACCGCUGAAAGCAUCUAAGCGGGAAACUCGCCUUGAGAUGAGACUUCCCGGGAACUAGAUUCCCCUAAAGGGUCGUUCGAGACCAGGACGUUGAUAGGUCAGGUGUGGAAGCGCAGUAAUGCGUUAAGCUAACUGAUACUAAUUGCCCGUGCGGCUUGUUCCU